Molecule: non-coding RNA, 73 nt
Organism: Cordylochernes scorpioides
Lineage: Eukaryota; Metazoa; Arthropoda; Arachnida; Pseudoscorpiones; Chernetidae
Source: the annotation of a GenBank genome assembly
UCCAGGGUAGCAGAGUGGACAUGGCAUCUGCCCGGUAAGCGGAACACUGUGGGUUCGAUUCCCAUCCCUGGAC